Molecule: ribosomal RNA, 388 nt
Filed under: uncultured bacterium
Lineage: Bacteria
Description: bacterial SSU rRNA
Rfam family: Bacterial small subunit ribosomal RNA
Source: RNAcentral
AAUGAACGCUGGCGGCGCGCCUAAUACAUGCAAGUCGAGCGAGAAGACGUAGCAAUACGUUUGUAAAGCGGCUAACGGGUGAGGAAUACAUGGGUAACCUACCCUAGAGUGGGGAAUAACUAGCCGAAAGGUUAGCUAAUACCGCGUACGCUCCUUGGACUUCGGUUCAGGGAGGAAAGCGAUGCCGAGGGUAUCGCGCUCUUGGAUGGGCUCAUGUCCUAUCAGCUUGUUGGGAGGUAACGGCUCACCAAGGCUUCGACGGGUAGCUGGUCUGAGAGGACGAUCAGCCACACUGGCACUGCGACACGGGCCAGACUCCUACGGGAGGCAGCAGUAAGGAAUAUUGCGCAAUGGGCGAAAGCCUGACGCAGCGACGCCGCGUGGGGGA